UAUAUGUUGGUAGAGGAGCAUUGUUAGCGGAACGAAGCCAUACCGGAAGGAGUGGUGGACUGCUAAGAAGAGAGAAUGCCGGAAUGAGUAGCGAGAUUGAAGUGAGAAUCUUCAAGGCCGAAUAUCUAAGGUUUCCAGGGUAAAGCUGAUCUGCCCUGGGUAAGUCGGGGCCUAAGGCGAGGUCGGAAGACGUAGCCGAUGGACAACAGGUUGAAAUUCCUGUACUGCGAUAUAUCAGAAAUGUGGGGACACAGAAGGAAAGUGUGAGCCGGGAAAGGAAAGACCGGUGCAAGCACAGGAGGAGGGAUACAGGCAAAUCCGUAUCCCAAUCCAAUGGUGUUACGCGGAGCGAACAAAAGUAGCGAAGCACACAGACCAUCUGUCGAGAAAAGCCGCUAUUGUGUAUACCGUACCCGUACCGUAAACCGACACAGGUGGAUGAGGAGAGAAUCCUAAGGCCGGCGGGAGAAGCAUUGUUAAGGAACUCGGCAAAAUGACCCCGUAACUUCGGGAGAAGGGGUGCUCACGCAAGUGAGCCGCAGAGAACUGGCCCAAGCAACUGUUUAGCAAAAACACAGGUCUAUGCAAAACCGAAAGGUGAGGUAUAUGGGCUGACGCCUGCCCGGUGCUGGAAGGUUAAGAGGAGAUGUUAGAGCAAUCGAAGCAUUGAAUUUAAGCCCCAGUAAACGGCGGCCGUAACUAUAACGGUCCUAAGGUAGCGAAAUUCCUUGUCGGGUAAGUUCCGACCCGCACGAAAGGCGUAAUGAUUUGGGCACUGUCUCGACAAUGCACCCGGUGAAAUUGAAAUACCAGUGAAGAUGCUGGUUACCUGCGCCAGGACGGAAAGACCCCAUGGAGCUUUACUCUAGCUUGAUACUGGGAUUCGGUAUUGCAUGUACAGGAUAGGUGGGAGACUAAGAGGUGAUGACGCCAGUUGUCACGGAGUCGAUGUUGGGAUACCACCCCUGCAGUACUGGGUUUCUAACCUGCGGCCGUGACCCGGCCGGGGGACAAUGUCUGGUGGGGAGUUUGACUGGGGCGGUCGCCUCCGAAAGGGCAUCGGAGGCGCUCAAAGGUUCCCUCAGAAUGGUUGGAAACCAUUCGAAGAGUGCAAAGGCAGAAGGGAGCUUGACUGCGACACCGACGGGUGGAGCAGGUACGAAAGUAGGACUUAGUGAUCCGGUGGUAUGAAAGUGGGAUUGCCAUCGCUCAACGGAUAAAAGCUACCCUGGGAUAACAGGCUUAUCACUCCCAAGAGUUCACAUCGACGGAGUGGUUUGGCACCUCGAUGUCGGCUCAUCGCAUCCUGGGGCUGUAGUAGGUCCCAAGGGUUGGGCUGUUCGCCCAUUAAAGCGGUACGCGAGCUGGGUUCAGAACGUCGUGAGACAGUUCGGUCCCUAUCCGGCGUGGGCGCAGGAUAUCUGAGAGGAGCUGUCCUUAGUACGAGAGGACCGGGAUGGACUGACCUCUGGUGCAUCGGUUGAGCCACCAGGCUCAUGGCCGAGUAGCCAAGUCGGGACGGGAUAAACGCUGAAGGCAUCUAAGCGUGAAGCCCCCCUCAAGAUGAGAUAUCCCAUAGAGUUAAUCUAGUAAGACCCCUUGAAGACGACGAGGUAGAUAGGCAGAAGGUGGAAGUGUGGUGACAUAUGGAGCUGAUCUGUACUAAUAGGUCGAGGGC
This 1678-nucleotide ribosomal RNA is filed under the name metagenome. RNAcentral describes it as "bacterial LSU rRNA". It matches the Rfam family "Bacterial large subunit ribosomal RNA", at positions 1219 to 2912 of the family's 2925-position model. The record is from RNAcentral.